ACGAACGCUGGCGGCAUGCCUAACACCUGCAAGUCGAACGAGACCUUCGGGUCUAGUGGCGCACGGGUGCGUAACGCGUGGGAAUCUGCCCUUGGGUUCGGAAUAACAGUUGGAAACGACUGCUAAUACCGGAUGAUGACGUAAGUCCAAAGAUUUAUCGCCCAGGGAUGAGCCCGCGUAGGAUUAGCUAGUUGGUGGGGUAAAGGCCUACCAAGGCGACGAUCCUUAGCUGGUCUGAGAGGAUGAUCAGCCACACUGGGACUGAGACACGGCCCAGACUCCUACGGGAGGCAGCAGUGGGGAAUAUUGGACAAUGGGCGAAAGCCUGAUCCAGCAAUGCCGCGUGAGUGAUGAAGGCCUUAGGGUUGUAAAGCUCUUUUACCCGGGAUGAUAAUGACAGUACCGGGAGAAUAAGCCCCGGCUAACUCCGUG
RNAcentral lists this ribosomal RNA (432 nucleotides) under uncultured bacterium. RNAcentral describes it as "partial 16S ribosomal RNA". It matches the Rfam family "Bacterial small subunit ribosomal RNA", at positions 29 to 507 of the family's 1533-position model. The record is from RNAcentral.